This 595-nucleotide unclassified non-coding RNA is filed under the name Hevea brasiliensis (rubber tree). Lineage: Eukaryota; Viridiplantae; Streptophyta; Magnoliopsida; Malpighiales; Euphorbiaceae. The record is from RNAcentral.
GUGCACUCUCUUUUCUACCAUUCUCCUUCCAGUGUACUGUUUUAUCAUCAAUAACAUGAACAUCAUAAACUGUUGAUUCUGUGUCAAGUAUGGAACCAUGCAUGUUGCAUCCAGCUUGAUUCCAAUGUUCCCCAUUUUUCUCUGGCUCCUCUCCAGUGCUGCCACUAAUUUGGGGUGCCUUCAUUCCUGGUGAUAUCAUGUCAAUAUCCCUUUUUGUUUUUUCUGUCCCUGCUACACUUGGAGUUUUCUGCACCAAUCCUUGUGAAGUGGAAAAGUCAGAAGCUAACUCGUUGUGCUUUGGCAUCAUUUCUUUCCCCAAGGCAGGUGUGCGUACAUGUUCAUGAUUUGAAGACCAUCUUGCAUUAGUUGCCACUUCAUUUUCACUAAUGGAUUCACUAUUCUCAAUCUUCUGUGGCACUGGAAGGGGAUUCUCUUUUGAAUCAAUGGAAAGCGAAAUUGUCUGUUCUUUUUUAUUUAUUUUAUAGCUUGAAUCACCUUCCACCAGAUCAUUUCCCACAAAGUUCAUCUGCUCAUAAGCUUCAACUUCCUUCUCAAGAAAAUGAAUCUCCCUCUCCUUCCUGACAAGGAUCUCUUU